AAAGGCGCCCAAGUUCUGCUCGGCUAUCCAUCUCAGAUAUCAAAUCACCAGGUGAUCCAAAAUAUAUGGACGCAGUUGAAUUAAGUCCCGAGGAAUCUGAAGAUGUUCUUUUCAAGGAGGCAUGGCUUACAUAUAUUUGGAGCAGAGCCAAAGACAAUGGUAUAAAAGAGGAUAUUGCCAGAGAGCGGCUUCAGUUUUGGAUUAACCGCCGUGGGCACUCACCAAGUUCACAUGAUGCUGUUGAUGUUGAGCAAGGCCUGAUGGAGCUCAGGAAGCUGGGGAUAGAGCGUCUACUGUGGGAAGCAUCGCGCAAGGAAAGUGAUCAGGAUUCUUCCACUA
This 339-nucleotide unclassified non-coding RNA is filed under the name Hevea brasiliensis (rubber tree). Lineage: Eukaryota; Viridiplantae; Streptophyta; Magnoliopsida; Malpighiales; Euphorbiaceae. The record is from RNAcentral.